AGUGAACGCUGGCGGUAGGCCUACACAUGCAAGUCGAACGGCAGCACAGUAAGAGCUUGCUCUUACGGGUGGCGAGUGGCGGACGGGUGAGGAAUACAUCGGAAUCUACUUUUUCGUGGGGGAUAACGUAGGGAAACUUACGCUAAUACCGCAUACGACCUACGGGUGAAAGCAGGGGAUCUUCGGACCUUGCGCGAUUGAAUGAGCCGAUGUCGAAUUAGCUAGUUGGCGGGGUAAAGGCCCACCAAGGCGACGAUCCGUAGCUGGUCUGAGAGGAUGAUCAGCCACACUGGAACUGAGACACGGUCCAGACUCCUACGGGAGGCAGCAGUGGGGAAUAUUGGACAAUGGGCGCAAGCCUGAUCCAGCCAUACCGCGUGGGUGAAGAAGGCCUUCGGGUUGUAAAGCCCUUUUGUUGGGAAAGAAAAGCAGCAGGUUAAUACCCCGCUGUUCUGACGGUACCCAAAGAAUAAGCACCGGCUAACUUCGUG
This 491-nucleotide ribosomal RNA is filed under the name uncultured bacterium. RNAcentral describes it as "partial 16S ribosomal RNA". It matches the Rfam family "Bacterial small subunit ribosomal RNA", at positions 29 to 507 of the family's 1533-position model. The record is from RNAcentral.